CCUACGGGCGGCAGCAGUGAGGAAUAUUGGUCAAUGGUCGUAAGACUGAACCAGCCAAGUAGCGUGCAGGAUGACGGCCCUAUGAGUUGUAAACUGCUUUUAUACGGGGAUAAAAGGCGUCACGUGUGAUUGUCUGUAGGUAUCGUAUGAAUAAGGACCGGCUAAUUCCGUGCCAGCAGCCGCGGUAAUACGGAGGGUUCGGGCGUUAUCCGGAUUUAUUGGGUUUAAAGGGAGCGUAGGCGGUAGGUUAAGCUAGCGGUGAAAUGCCGAGGCUCAACAACGGAACUGCCUCUGAAACUGGUCUGCUAGAGAGUAGGUGCAGUAGGCGGAAGGUAUGGUGUAGCGGUGAAAUGCUUAGAGAUCACACAGAACACCGAUUGCGAAGGCAGCUUACCAAACCACUACUGACGCUGAGGCACGAAAGCGUGGGUAGCGAACAGGAUUAGAUACCCCAGUAGUC
RNAcentral lists this ribosomal RNA (460 nucleotides) under uncultured bacterium. Its description in RNAcentral is "partial 16S ribosomal RNA". It matches the Rfam family "Bacterial small subunit ribosomal RNA", at positions 338 to 795 of the family's 1533-position model. The record is from RNAcentral.